Molecule: long non-coding RNA, 334 nt
Organism: Lethenteron reissneri (Far Eastern brook lamprey)
Lineage: Eukaryota; Metazoa; Chordata; Hyperoartia; Petromyzontiformes; Petromyzontidae
Source: RefSeq, a predicted model, not a curated record
UGCCACACGGAAUAACCUUUUACCAGUUGGUGAAAAGUAGCGAUUACCUAUGUCAGUGGGGAGCGUGCAUUUAGUUUGACUAAGACACAUGUGACGUCCCUCCCUAAUGUGUGUUUGCUUUGCAGUGGAGUGCAUGCAGUGCUGCAAUGACUCCAACACCUACGACACAUGCCUGGACAUCGCACUCUAUAUUAAUAACUCAUCGCAUCUGGUGGAGGCGUUUGGGGAGUUUUUCAACGAGGAGAUUCUGGAUGAAUACACCUGUGCAAGGUGCUGUCACAAAGGGAAAGCGACGAAGACGAUGGCUCUCCACCGCCUGCCCAACGUCCUCACC